This is a long non-coding RNA of Passer montanus (Eurasian tree sparrow), 1839 nucleotides long. RefSeq lists it as uncharacterized. The transcript has 3 exons. NCBI's taxonomy places the organism in Eukaryota, Metazoa, Chordata, Aves, Passeriformes, Passeridae. The record is from RefSeq and is a predicted model, not a curated record.
CUAUAAAUGGUGCUUAUGGGGUUUUUUUUGUUUUUUUUUUAAGGUCUCUCUCCACAGGUUUUUUUGCUUCAUAAAACAUAAUUUUCAUACUUAUUGCUUCUGAUGUGAUUGAACCUUUGCUGUGGCGUGACUUUGGGUGCACAUCUCGACAUUUCUGGAUCCAUGUGUGUGUUAUUGUGGUUCCCUGCCUCCUUGUGCUACAAGCAGAAUUACAGAAGAGUAUAAAAUCUUAUUUUCAAAUAUUUAUGUCAUGUUCUCAAGGGUGUUCCCAGCAUGCCAGGCAGGUUUCUGCUCAAACUGCUCAAUUUCUUUUCCUUCACAUGGGAUGUUCUGUGUCCAGACACAGAAAGAAAAUCAUCAUCCUCACUCUUACACAGAUCUAGCCAUGAAAUUAGGAUGGAUAAAAGAUUUUGCCACUAUGUGCCCCUCCAGUCAAUCCUGACCUGAGUUUGAAAUGAACUUUUGGUGUGGCACGUUCAUGUCUGCAGCAGACAGGGCUUCAGCUCUCUGCUCAUCCCACCUGCAGACAGCAGCUCCCUCUGCUUCUCUCAAGGCACUUCGUGGUCCAGCAGCAGCACCAGCAGACACCAGCUGCUGGAUGUAGCUACUCCACGGCAAAAACCUGUGGUUUUUUUCCUUGAUGGAAACCUCUCAGUCUUGUUGCUUUGCCCUCCUUCUCUGAAGAAGGAAGACUGAAGCAAAAGAAGGUUGAAGGACGUUUCUCAGCAACAUCUCUGAAGUUGCUGCCUGGCGCUGAGCCAUGGUAGUCACUCAAAUCCACAUUAAGCUGUAUUUCUACAAGGAAGUGUUUGAGCUCAGUCUGACCUAUUUUCUGAAAUAAGGAUUUAAAAGUCCUCUCUUGCAUAAUGGGCUGUGUUGGCACAGCAUCAUGAAAGCAAAGUUGGAUCCUGAGUUCCCUCUGUACCAGCAAAGUACUCCUGGCUCAAGCUACUUCUGCUAAGCCAAACCCCAUUUGCUUUAAAAUAUGCUUGUCAUUUAUUUGGUUUAAAUAGUUUCCUUCCUUGUGAUGUUUUACCCUGUGAACUUUCCUUUUUCUUUUUUUUUUUAAAGUACAAGAAGCCAUGGGCCAUUUAUUGUGCAGUUCAUGCUCUCAGGUACUUCUGUUCCUUGCUGACAUGAAUUCCUUGUGCAGUUCAGACUCAGUGAGCUUUUGCAGUGCUGCUUUUCAAAGUUACACUGCAGAGACACUCUGCUCACACCCUCGAGCAUGCAGAACUCCUUGAAUCAACCCUUGCAGAAGGGAAAAGAAGCCUGGAAAGACUGAGGUUUACACCAGCUUCCUUACUAAUUUUUUGUUUCAGGAGCCCUUUACUGGGUGCUGCCUGUCACAUCAGCUUCUCCAAGGGGGAAAUGAUCCUCUAGGAUUAGGUGCUGGAGGCACUUGUCCCUUCACUGCUCCUGUGCACUGCAUAGAACAAGAGAUUUGAUAUGUCUAUAAAAAAGAAAAAGCAAUUUUUUUAUGGGCAAAAUGAACAAUUCUUGUACAACAUCCCUCCUCCUAAAGACAAGGCACUAAAAUGCUGGAAUUUCCUCCAAAUGGAGAAAGUGUGUUGGCAGUUCCAGCUCUGCAAUUGUUACCCAGCUUCCAAGUACACCUACGAAAUAUUGCCUGCAGCACAACAGUGGAGAUGAUUAAAAGGAUUUUUUUUUUGGUAAAGAUUAAAGACUUUAUUACCUCUCUGGUAAAUGUAAAAAUAUUAAUUGAAUGAAGUAUUAAUUGUCAGUAGAAGAAGAAAUGUGACUUAAAAUGCAUGUAAAGAUGUCGGAAUUUACAAAUGACCUGAUAAUGUAGGAACUAUAAAACACAAAAAAUACUUA